RNAcentral lists this long non-coding RNA (652 nucleotides) under Mytilus galloprovincialis (Mediterranean mussel). The record is from RNAcentral. Lineage: Eukaryota; Metazoa; Mollusca; Bivalvia; Mytilida; Mytilidae.
GCACUAUCAUUUUCUAUGUUCAGUGAACCGUAAAAUUGGGGUCAAAACUCUAAUUUAGCAUUUAAAUUAGAAAGAUCAUAUCAUAGGGCACAUGUAUACUAAGUUUCAAGUUGAUUGGACUUCAACUUCAUCAAAAACUACCUUGACCAAAAACUUUAACCUGAAGCCAAAAACUUUAACCUGAAAUUUGCACUAUCAUUUUCUAUGUUCAGUGAACCGUAUAAUUGGGGUCAAAACUCUAAUUUGGCAUUUAAAUUAGAAAGAUCAUAUCAUAGGGCACAUGUAUACUAAGUUUCAAGUUGAUUGGACUUCAACUUCAUCAAAAAACUACCUUGACCAAAAACUUUAACCUGAAGCCAAAAACUUUAACCUGAAAUUUGCACUAUCAUUUUCUAUGUUCAGUGAACCGUAAAAUUGGGGUCAAAACUCUAAUUUGGCAUUUAAAUUAGAAAGAUCAUAUCAUAGGGCACAUGUAUACUAAGUUUCAAGUUGAUUGGACUUCAACUUCAUCAAAAACUACCUUGACCAAAAACUUUAACCUGAAGCGGGACAGACGGACGGACGGACGGACGGACGGACGAACGAACGGACGCACAGACCAGAAAACAUAAUGCCCCUCUACUAUCGUAGGUGGGGCAUAAAAAUAAUUUUU